GGAGGGAUGGCCGAGCGGUCGAAGGCGACGGUCUUGAAAACCGUUAGGCGUCAGCCUCAAGAGUUCGAAUCUCUUUCCCUCCG
Molecule: transfer RNA, 83 nt
Filed under: Jonquetella anthropi DSM 22815
Lineage: Bacteria; Thermotogati; Synergistota; Synergistia; Synergistales; Dethiosulfovibrionaceae
Rfam family: tRNA
About the family: Transfer RNA (tRNA) molecules are approximately 80 nucleotides in length.
Source: Rfam by way of RNAcentral